This 592-nucleotide long non-coding RNA is filed under the name Hordeum vulgare. RNAcentral's name for it is "long non-coding RNA (HVUL_LNC018160)". Lineage: Eukaryota; Viridiplantae; Streptophyta; Magnoliopsida; Poales; Poaceae. The record is from RNAcentral.
UGUUUUAGAUCCGAUCUUGCAAGUUGUAGUUACCUACUAUGUGUUAUGAUCCGGCAACCCUGGAGUGACAAUAACCGGAACCACUCCCGGUGAUGAUCAUAGUUUGAGGAGUUCAUGUGUUCACCAAGUGCUAAUGCGUUGGUCCGGUGCUUUAUUAAAAGGAGAACCUUAAUAUCCCAUAGUUUCCUUUUGGACCCCGCUGCCACGGGAGGGAUGGACAAUAGAUGUCAUGCAAGUUCUUUUCCCUAAGCACGUAUGACGACACACGGAAUGCAUGCCUACAUCACAUUGAUGAACGGGAGCUAGCCACAUAUCUCUCCGUGUUAUAGCUGUUGCAUGAUGAAUAUGACCCAAACAAAUCACCGACCCAUUGCCUACGAGUUUGUCCUACUACUGUUGUUACUUGUCUUGCUCUACUGUUGCUGCUACUACUGUUGCUACUCUUGUUACUUGUCUUGCUCUGCUACUGUUGCUACUUGCUACUGUUGUUCCUUGCCAGUGCUAUUGCUCGUUACACUGCCGUUACUCGUUACUUUGGUGUUACUACUGUGCUUGCAGAUACUAAUCUUUCAGGUGUGGUUGAAUCUGACAC